Molecule: ribosomal RNA, 465 nt
Filed under: Vreelandella stevensii
Lineage: Bacteria; Pseudomonadati; Pseudomonadota; Gammaproteobacteria; Oceanospirillales; Halomonadaceae
Description: partial 16S ribosomal RNA
Rfam family: Bacterial small subunit ribosomal RNA
Source: RNAcentral
CCUACGGGUGGCAGCAGUGGGGAAUAUUGGACAAUGGGGGCAACCCUGAUCCAGCCAUGCCGCGUGUGUGAAGAAGGCCCUCGGGUUGUAAAGCACUUUCAGUGAGGAAGAACGCCUGGUGGUUAAUACCCAUCAGGAAAGACAUCACUCACAGAAGAAGCACCGGCUAACUCCGUGCCAGCAGCCGCGGUAAUACGGAGGGUGCGAGCGUUAAUCGGAAUUACUGGGCGUAAAGCGCGCGUAGGUGGCUUGAUAAGCCGGUUGUGAAAGCCCCGGGCUCAACCUGGGAACGGCAUCCGGAACUGUCAAGCUAGAGUGCAGGAGAGGAAGGUAGAAUUCCCGGUGUAGCGGUGAAAUGCGUAGAGAUCGGGAGGAAUACCAGUGGCGAAGGCGGCCUUCUGGACUGACACUGACACUGAGGUGCGAAAGCGUGGGUAGCAAACAGGAGUAGAUACCCCGGUAGUC